This 243-nucleotide ribosomal RNA is filed under the name uncultured Actinomycetales bacterium. RNAcentral describes it as "partial 16S ribosomal RNA". It matches the Rfam family "Bacterial small subunit ribosomal RNA", at positions 88 to 334 of the family's 1533-position model. Lineage: Bacteria; Bacillati; Actinomycetota; Actinomycetes; Actinomycetales. The record is from RNAcentral.
UACUCGAGUGGCGAACGGGUGAGUAACACGUGGGUGAUCUGCCCUGCACUUCGGGAUAAGCUUUGGAAACUGGGUUUAAUACCGGAUAGGAACCAUCUUUAGUGUGGUGGUUGGAAAGUUUUUUCGGUGUAGGAUGAGCUCGCGGCCUAUCAGCUUGUUGGUGGGGUAAUGGCCUACCAAGGCGGCGACGGGUAGCCGGCCUGAGAGGGUGUACGGCCACAUUGGGACUGAGAUACGGCCCAG